RNAcentral lists this ribosomal RNA (643 nucleotides) under uncultured bacterium. RNAcentral's name for it is "bacterial SSU rRNA". It matches the Rfam family "Bacterial small subunit ribosomal RNA", at positions 202 to 842 of the family's 1533-position model. The record is from RNAcentral.
CAAAGGAGUGAUCCGGCAGAGGAUGGACAUGCGGCGCAUUAGCUAGUCGGCGGGGUAACGGCCCACCGAGGCUACGAUGCGUAGGGGUUCUGAGAGGAAGGUCCCCCACACUGGUACUGAGACACGGACCAGACUCCUACGGGAGGCAGCAGUGAGGAAUAUUGGUCAAUGGGCGGAAGCCUGAACUAGCCAAGUCGCGUGAGGGAAGACGGUCCUAUGGAUUGUAAACCUCUUUUGCAGGGGAGCAAGGCGCGGUACGUGUACCGCGAAGGAGAGUACCCUGAGAAAAAGCAUCGGCUAACUCCGUGCCAGCAGCCGCGGUAAUACGGAGGAUGCGAGCGUUAUCCGGAUUUAUUGGGUUUAAAGGGUGCGCAGGCGGACUGUUAAGUCAGCGGUAAAAUGUCGGUGCUCAACACCGGCCGGCCGUUGAAACUGGCAGCCUUGAGUGAGCGAGAAGUAUGCGGAAUGCGUGGUGUAGCGGUGAAAUGCAUAGAUAUCACGCAGAACUCCGAUUGCGAAGGCAGCAUACCGGCGCUCAACUGACGCUCAGGCACGAAAGCGUGGGUAUCGAACAGGCUUAGAUACCCUGGUAGUCCACGCAGUAAACGAUGAAUGCUCACUGUCCGGGCCGUUUAAGGCCUGG